Molecule: transfer RNA, 80 nt
Filed under: Trichonephila clavata
Lineage: Eukaryota; Metazoa; Arthropoda; Arachnida; Araneae; Nephilidae
Rfam family: tRNA
About the family: Transfer RNA (tRNA) molecules are approximately 80 nucleotides in length. Their secondary structure includes four short double-helical elements and three loops (D, anti-codon, and T loops).
Source: Rfam by way of RNAcentral
GCAGUCGUGGCCGAGUGGUUAAGGCGAUGGACUUGAAAUCCAUUGGGGUCUCCUGUGCAGGUUCGAAUCCUGCGGCUGCG